This is a long non-coding RNA of Gasterosteus aculeatus aculeatus (three-spined stickleback), 1129 nucleotides long. RefSeq lists it as uncharacterized. NCBI's taxonomy places the organism in Eukaryota, Metazoa, Chordata, Actinopteri, Perciformes, Gasterosteidae. The record is from RefSeq and is a predicted model, not a curated record.
UUGAUGGAGGCAAACAAAAGGCCCAUUGACGGCGGCGUGGCCAGCUGCAGCCGGUGCAGGUCAAGGUCACCAAGGUCGCGGUGAGAAGAAAGAUAUCUCAGAGAAACGCCUGCUGCAGAUAUCGGACGUGGCUCCGUUGCUCACUUUGCAUCAGCCGGUGCGUCUUUGCUUCAUUCAGUGAACAGAAGGGAACAUUUGGGGAUUCAAAAAACAAACCCUAUUAUCAGCAGCGACCUGUCAAUCAGCGUGUAGCCCCUCCCCGAAGCAACCCCAUGCUAAUUUCUCAUUUCAAUCAGCUUUUUAUUGUUAUUCAUGUGGAAUGAAAGAGAUGAGAUUGAAACACAAGUCAACUUGUUUUCUAGAAGCUUCUAAUAUUAUUGUAAAUAUUCAGCAGUCCCCCCAAAAACAUCUGGCCGCGCUGUACUGGCUUCACCAUUAAGCCCGCUGCGAUGCUCCAGCAGCGGCAACAACAACUUCAUGCACGUCUCCAUACAAGGUCCUGAUGAUUGCUUCCUUCCUUCUAUGGAGAAGCUCUGCAGCCGCUCGGUCAUCUCAGGGAUUCCAAAGGUUGCUCGUGAAGUUACUGUCAUGGGUGAGCGGAUCGCUUAGUUCCACAGGAGCUCCGUGAGGGACAGACGGAGACGGGAGAAACGUCCAAUCCAGCUUCAUCACGCUGGACAGACGUGGGCCUGAACACGCCUCCACCCACACGCCUUCACCCACACGCCUCCACCCACACGCCUUCACCCACUCGACAGCCGUGUCGUGUGAAUAUGGGAACCUCGAAGGGCGCGUUUGAGAUGACCCUCUUCGUCAGGCCUCCCCUCAAGAGGAGGGAGGGAGGCGAAAAAGCCAAAAGAGCCUCCAGCUGGACCCCGUGGGGAGCUCGUGUGAACGCUGUGACCUCACGGCGUCGGGCCCUACGGACCAAUGAGCGCUGGCGAUGUCACGGUUCGGAGUCAAAUCGAGAGGGUUCUGCUUCGGGGUCAAGAGGUCAUAGUUUAGUUUACUCUUUAAAUCUGUUCCUCUGGUGAAGCUCAUCAGCGGCUGAUGUUUAGGAGCUUUGGAUCCCACCUUUCUCCGCUGACAGCUUGCUGACGUCCAUCGUCUUGUUGAGGACUUUGACGGC